This 428-nucleotide ribosomal RNA is filed under the name uncultured bacterium. RNAcentral's name for it is "bacterial SSU rRNA". It matches the Rfam family "Bacterial small subunit ribosomal RNA", at positions 354 to 796 of the family's 1533-position model. The record is from RNAcentral.
GUAGGGAAUAUUGCGCAAUGGGCGAAAGCCUGACGCAGCGACGCCGCGUGAGUGAUGAAGGCCUUCGGGUCGUAAAGCUCUGUUGCACGGGACAAAGAAAGUGAUGGUACCGUGCGAGGAAGGACCGGCUAACUUCGUGCCAGCAGCCGCGGUAAGACGAGGGGUCCUAGCGUUGCUCGGAAUCAUUGGGCGUAAAGCGUGUGUAGGUGGCUUUUUAAGUCAGGUGUGAAAUCCCCGGGCUCAACCUGGGAAGUGCAUUUGAUACUGAUUAGCUUGAGUAUGGGAGAGGAUAGUAGAAUUCCUGGUGUAGUGGUGAAAUACGUAGAUAUCAGGAGGAAUACCGGUGGCGAAGGCGGCUAUCUGGCCCUAUACUGACACUGAGACACGAAAGCGUGGGGAGCAAACAGGAUUAGAUACCCCUGUAGUCC